GUAGUCUAACGGAUAAAAAAUUACUUAGAUGUCAUCUCCAUAAACAAAGAUAGGAUCAGAUAACAAAUACUCUGCUACCAAAGAACAUAAGAUGAAUUUUUUCAGAUCUGAACUUUUACAUAAUCAGUACAAUUUAACAUAUUAUAACAGCUAAGUUAAUUUAUUUCUGGAUUACCAAAUACUUAGCUUGUUAUAAACAAUGUUCAUGCAAAUAACGUAACCUGAUAAUGUAAAAAGAUUAUUACACUAUCAGUGCAUAAAACGUAAAUUCAAUAAUAAAAACCGGCUGAAAAUUUCUUAAUUAGUUGUGUAGGCACAAACUAAGAAUCAAGAUAAAAGAGAAACCUACAAAUUCCAGCCUUAAUUAUUAACAGAAAAAUAUUUUUAUUUUGUUCUUAGGAAGGGUACAAAACAAGACGCCUCGAACAAGAGGAACAGAGAUAUUUGCGUUUGAACCUCAAGCAAAUGGGUAAACAGAAAAGCUUCCCCUUGCCUUCAAUGUCCACAGCCUCCACUGUCCCUCCACAAUAUGGACAUGUCCCUGAUGCUUUCUUUCUUCCUACUUCUUUUUCUUCUUCUUCACACACAUAUAUCAUUCGCAUUCUCUCUCUCUCUAAAUCUCUC
This 624-nucleotide long non-coding RNA is filed under the name Nicotiana benthamiana. Its description in RNAcentral is "long non-coding RNA (NBEN_LNC029217)". Lineage: Eukaryota; Viridiplantae; Streptophyta; Magnoliopsida; Solanales; Solanaceae. The record is from RNAcentral.